GAGUCUGAGGGUACCGGGAUCUAUAUAUACAUUCAGUAUUAGUACCUAGAAACGUAGUUCCCAUUUUUAGAUGGAAAGUACCUAUGAAUGGAAGCUCUAAUGGUUUCUUCUCUCAUCUCAUGUUCUAUUCUGUGCAGUUCCUGGAGCGGGCACUCCCCGCCUGGGAGACUCCUACCUUGCAGGAAGGAGUCACAUAUUCCUGAAUUGGACCCCACUCAGAUGCAGAAGGCUAAGAUUUUGGAUGAGAAAAGUGGACCGGCCCCAUACAAUGGUACUUUGUGAGAGAGCUCGCUGCAUGGGCCGGCCGGGCCCCCUGUCCUCCGCCUGCCAACGGGAGGAGACGCGAGGCGCUGGGAGCUCCAGAGUGGGCGAGGACCUCGGGCAGACCCGGCGUUGCUGUUGGACAUCAUUCAGAAGUCCCCGCUCAGCGGGGGCAGCCCAAAGAGCAAAACAAACAGAGCGAGGAGUAGUGGAAAAUGCUGAGUCCUGGAGCUGGCCGGAACAGCGUUCGCCUUUCCACGCCCGGAGCCAGCCGCUCUGCCCACCUGCAGCUGCAAUAGCAAGCAGGGCCGCAGCAGGCAGGGAGGCCUUGGCACCAGAGCCCGUCCAGGGCUGAGGGCGGGGAACAGACACUCCUCUCUCUUCAGACAGGCCCUCCAGAGUCCUCGCCCUGAAGGCUGAGGUCUUUUUCUUGUUCCAGGAGUCCAGUGAAAAAAUAGUUCUCAAAAAAGGGAGAAAAAGACUUUCUUGAACUGUAGUUUCAGAUUUACUAAUAGUGUCCAUUUACAUAGCACUUACGAAAUGUCAAGCCCCAACACAGAUGAAUUGGCAAUCACCGUGUCAGUCCUGCGAGGCUGGUACUGUUAUCCCCAUUUCACAGAUGAAAAAAGCCAGGCACAGAGAAGUCAAAUAACUUACCCAAGAUCACAGUGCUCAACGAUGGCAGGGCCAGGAUUUAAAACCUGGUUUUAGAUUUAAAACCUAGUUUACAGUCUUAAAGGUGACUGCCUUUUCUCUUCAGCUUAUCAAAUUUCCUCUCUAGGAAUACCAGAUGUGAGACACAAAGAGAGGAGACCCAAGAUGGAGAGUAAAGGGAAUGAAUGAGAGAGAGAAGAAUCACCAAGGACUAGAAUAAUACAAAAGAUUUCUUUAAAAAGCAGGAGGCCAUCAGCCCAGGAGAAGGAGUGUGAGACCGAGGUACAGAAGUGGCAGGAAAUGCUGAACUGGGGCUGGAAGGUGUGACAGUACGAGUCAGACAGACACCUGCUCUGUCCCGUGUCCGAAACAGGAUUCCAGAAAUAAUGUGAAGAGGUUGCUUGGCAAAGGAGGCUCACACAGCUCUGGGGGAAACUGAGGAUCAGUAGCUGGAGCAGAAAAAUAGAGAAAUGAACACCUUCUUUCUUUCCAAUUACAGCCGCCGUGGAGGCAGAUGGCCAGGGCUCCUGGGAGAGACAGAUCCUGAUCAGAAGAGAGGGCCUAUGGCUGUCGUGCAGGGAGGUCUGUCACAUUCCUCUAACCCCAGAGGAACGAGGAGAAGGAAGAAAGGAAUGAACAAAUGAACAAAGGAAGGAAUGAAAAGAGAGAGACAGAAGGAGGGAAGAAGGGCUGAAAGGAAGAGGCUAUUUCUUUCUUGUGUUUGGAAGAACGAGCUGCCAACCCUCGUUAAAUGCAUAGGAUUUAGAAUUACUACACCUAAAUUCUAAUUCUGCCUCUGUCACCGGUUAGUAAUGUGAUCUCACGGAAAUCAUUGAAACUCCCUUAACCUGAAACCCUAUAUCUAUACAAUGAGGACACUGGACUACACCUCUAAGGUUCUCUCUGGAUCCGAAAUCCACACUCUGAUGAUACUGAGACCAAGGACGGGGACUUUGAUCAUUGCCUUUGCAUGCCACCCAAGGUCUACGCCCUUGCACAGUGCCUGCCACCCAUCCACACCGACCAGUCACCCAGGGCUGGUGAUUCUAUGUUCUCCACACCUCUCUGAUGUGCCAUUGCUGCUUCCCUUGUACGCAUCUCUUCUGAGCAUGACAGUUUUCCAACUGGUCUCCCUGUUUCUACCCUUGUCUGGCUCUGAUUCACGUUCUACUCCACAGUCAGAAUGAUUUUCCUAAGUACAGGUCGGAUCAUGUGACUUAGCCUGCUGGAAGAGCCUCAGGACUCCACGUCACUCUUCAUACAGCCCACAGGCCCCUGGAUCAUCUCCACCCGUUCUUGCUGUCCUCUCCUCCCACCCACACACCUUUGCACACUGUGCUCUGGAUCCAUAAAACUACUUCCAGUUUCUCCAUCAGUGUACACACUUUCUCACCUCUCAGCCCUUGGACAUGCAUUCCCCACCACCGGAACCUCUUUCCCUCUCCACUUAACUACCUGCUACUCACCUGCAGGCCACACAUUCCUUCAGGUUAGGUUCCUCCUAUGUGUCAAAUCGUAAUGUUACUUCACUGGAUGGUAUUACCCUUUUAUUUGUCUAUAAAUUGUAAUUUACUAGAAUCGGAGUGAAGGAAAAAGUGUUUACCUUCUUCCUUAUGGUUUCCCUGCUACUGAACCCAAUGCCAACCACACAGCAUAUGCUCAAUGGAUGUUUGUUUUCUGAAUAAAUUUGCUUGGUGGCUUCAC
Macaca mulatta (Rhesus monkey) is the source of this 2619-nucleotide non-coding RNA. The record is from RefSeq and is a predicted model, not a curated record. Lineage: Eukaryota; Metazoa; Chordata; Mammalia; Primates; Cercopithecidae.